Long non-coding RNA from Haliotis rubra (blacklip abalone), 341 nucleotides. RefSeq lists it as uncharacterized. Lineage: Eukaryota; Metazoa; Mollusca; Gastropoda; Lepetellida; Haliotidae. The transcript is spliced from 3 exons. The record is from RefSeq and is a predicted model, not a curated record.
GUUGGACAACAGGUGACUAAAUAUGUACACACCAAUGGUGGAUGAAGUCACAGUUGGACAACAGGUGACUAAAUAUGUACACACCAAUCGUGGAUGAAGUCACAGUUGGACAACAGGUGACUAAAUAUGUACACACCAAUGGUGGAUGAAGUCACAGUUGGACAACAGGUGACUAAAUAUGUACACACCAAUGGUGGAUGAAGUCACAGUUGGACAACAGGUGACUAAAUAUGUACACACCAAUGGUGGAUGAAGUCACAGUUGGACAACAGGUGACUAAAUAUGUACACACCAAUGGUGGAUGAAGUCACAGUUGGACAACAGGUGACUAAAUAUGUACA